UACGGAGGAUGCAAGCGUUAUCCGGAAUGAUUGGGCGUAAAGCGUCCGCAGGUGGCUAUGUAAGUCUGCUGUUAAAGAGUCUGGCUCAACCAGAUAAAGGCAGUGGAAACUACAUGGCUAGAGUGCGUUCGGGGCAGAGGGAAUUCCUGGUGUAGCGGUGAAAUGCGUAGAGAUCAGGAAGAACACCGGUGGCGAAAGCGCUCUGCUAGGCCGCAACUGACGCUGAGAAGCGAAAGCAUGGGGAGCGAACAGG
RNAcentral lists this ribosomal RNA (253 nucleotides) under uncultured bacterium. RNAcentral describes it as "partial 16S ribosomal RNA". It matches the Rfam family "Bacterial small subunit ribosomal RNA", at positions 524 to 776 of the family's 1533-position model. The record is from RNAcentral.